AAAGUUCCGGCGCUUAGAGAUUGGUGUGCGUCUGAUUAGCUAGUUGGGCGGGGUAACGGCCCACCAAGGCGACGAUCAGUAGGGGGUGUGAGAGCAUGACCCCCCACAUGGGUACUGAGACACGAACCCAACUCCUACGGGAGGCAGCAGUAAGGAAUAUUGGACAAUGGGGCGGAAGCCUGAUCCAGCCAUGCCGCGUGAAGGAUGAAGGCGCUCAGCGUUGUAAACUUCUUUUGGAUGGGGACAAUAACUUUCAUUUAUGAGAGCUUGAGGGUACCAUCAGAAUAAGCACCGGCUAACUCCGUG
Molecule: ribosomal RNA, 306 nt
Filed under: uncultured bacterium
Lineage: Bacteria
Description: bacterial SSU rRNA
Rfam family: Bacterial small subunit ribosomal RNA
Source: RNAcentral